GGUGGCUCAGUGGAGAGCACUUGCCUUGCAUGCAUGAGGCCCUGGGUUCGAUUCCUCAGCACCA
RNAcentral lists this transfer RNA (64 nucleotides) under Dipodomys ordii (Ord's kangaroo rat). It matches the Rfam family "tRNA". Rfam says of the family: Transfer RNA (tRNA) molecules are approximately 80 nucleotides in length. Their secondary structure includes four short double-helical elements and three loops (D, anti-codon, and T loops). The record is from Rfam by way of RNAcentral. Lineage: Eukaryota; Metazoa; Chordata; Mammalia; Rodentia; Heteromyidae.